Molecule: non-coding RNA, 28 nt
Filed under: Homo sapiens (human)
Lineage: Eukaryota; Metazoa; Chordata; Mammalia; Primates; Hominidae
Source: RNAcentral
UCGACAGCUUGAUGGACGAAAUCUCUUU